UCUCCUGUAGAUGUUAGUGGUUUGAUCUGGAAACAGAAAUCACAAAUUGAAAACAUGUUUCAGCAAAAAUGAGACACAAGUUUCCUAAUUUUUAUUAUUUUUUUACAGGACUAGGUGCAAACCUCCAUUAGUAGAAAACCAAGAGUUUCAAUGAAAACCAAACCCAAGACUGGUACGAAGUUAACUACACAGCUCUGUCAAUACUGGUCGUAACUUGAAAUGACCCUCCUCGUUCCAGAUAGGUCUUUUCCUUUCCCACCUGCUUCCAUUCACAGCUAGAUGAAGGUUUCCCUAUAUUUGUUAUAGUAAAGGUUACCAUUCAUCAGGGUUAGAAACUACAUCCGCACGUAAGAUAAAGUAUUCAGCGCUAGCCCAGUUUACCAUCACUAACACCUGCCCCUCAGCCCCAGAAGGGAUUUGUUUUCAAACAUUACUCCACUGCCACAACUCCGCCAAUUCCAGACUUACUAGGGUGACCAGAUGUCCCGAUUUUAUAGGGACCGUCCCGAUUUUAGGGUCUUUUUCUUAUAUAGGCUCCUAUUACUGCCCACCCCCUGUCCCGAUUUUUCACACUUGCUGUCUGGUCACCCUAAGACUUACUGAUAGGAAAGGGCAAACCUCAAAUUAGGUGGAAGGUCCAGUCUGUAGGCUGAGUGAGAUUCUAUGGAGCUAACACGAGGAAGCAUGAGUAAACAAUGUUCAUGAGGAAUUUGGAGACCAAAUAAGAUUUUAAAUUGUUGUAUAACAUGAAUGUGUGACUUUAAAAGUUGUUUAUUAAAUCCUGCUCUCAUUAUUCUACAGGCAGUCUCUGACUACAUCUGGUGUUGUCUGGGAACAAGUAUUCUGUGUACCCUGCUAAUACACAGUGGCGUACUGGUAAAAAAAGAAUGGUCAUCACAAAAACCACCACUACAGUCAUCACUAGAGUUGGCAGGUUCAGCAGAGAGGGUGCCUAGUCCUAGCCUGGAGGAUCAGCUACCCACUCCACCACAGAGAUGAUCUCUCCAGAUAUAUUAAAACUUCAGGAUGGAGAAAGAAAGGUGUUAUUUUAUAACCAAGGACAGACCUGAAUGGACAGCAACUAUCAGUAAAAGUUGUAAACACUUUGAGGAAGACAGAUGCAAAAAACUGAUAGAAAUAAAGGCCAACCGUCAUGCCAAGUCUUCAGCGAGAGCCUGCACAUUCCUCUGACAUCUGUUUGGAAUCUUGUGCCUCUUGGAUCAGGCUAGGCAGCCACAUGAAAACACACGUGGUGCUGUGACAUCAUUGUUGGUUACAACAGACAGCCACACAAUUUUAUGGACGUCUGUUGAAAAAUGCCAGUGUCACGCAUGGAUGUUAAUGGAGGAGCAAUGGUCAGCGUAGACCAAUGAACAGUUUGGCACUGCCUAUCAAGAUCCAAUAAGAAUAUUGACUAAUAAAACUAUUGAUGGGUCGUUUCUAAGCUAACUUCAAUAGAUAAUAAACUUACACUGGGAAAAUACUUUAAAAUACUUCCCAGUGAAGAAAUAUGAUAUUGUCUCUGCUUCCUGACAGGUGCCAAAAAUGAAUCUAGAUAUAGUUCUAGCAUCUCUCACCCUACAGUUGUUUCCAAUCAUUGCUAAUAAUACUUAUGGAACUUUCUAAGUGCAUAUCUAACUUUAGCAGCACAUGGAAAAACAUGGUCUCUACCCAAAGGA
Molecule: non-coding RNA, 1679 nt
Organism: Chrysemys picta bellii (western painted turtle)
Lineage: Eukaryota; Metazoa; Chordata; Testudines; Emydidae
Source: RefSeq, a predicted model, not a curated record